This 451-nucleotide ribosomal RNA is filed under the name uncultured bacterium. RNAcentral's name for it is "partial 16S ribosomal RNA". It matches the Rfam family "Bacterial small subunit ribosomal RNA", at positions 28 to 507 of the family's 1533-position model. The record is from RNAcentral.
AGCGAACGCUGGCGGCAUGCCUAACACAUGCAAGUCGCACGGGGGGGCUUCGGCCUCCCAGUGGCGGACGGGUGAGGAACGCGUAGGGACCUGUCGAGGGGUGGGGGAUAACCGCGGGAAACUGCGGCUAAUACCGCAUGACGCCGCGGCGUGACAGCCGGGGCCAAAGGCGAAAGCCGCCCGCCGAGGGGCCUGCGUCCGAUUAGCUGGUUGGCGGGGUAGCGGCCCACCAAGGCGUCGAUCGGUAGCUGGUCUGAGAGGGUGAUCAGCCACACCGGGACUGAGACACGGCCCGGACUCCUACGGGAGGCAGCAGUGGGGAAUAUUGGACAAUGGGCGCAAGCCUGAUCCAGCAAUGCCGCGUGGGUGAAGAAGGUCUUCGGAUUGUAAAGCCCUCUCGGCGGGGACGAUGGUGACGGUACCCGCAGAAGAAGCCCCGGCUAACUUCGUG